This is a long non-coding RNA of Cottoperca gobio, 439 nucleotides long. RefSeq lists it as uncharacterized. Lineage: Eukaryota; Metazoa; Chordata; Actinopteri; Perciformes; Bovichtidae. The record is from RefSeq and is a predicted model, not a curated record. The transcript is spliced from 2 exons.
AGGAGGCAGCUGCCACAGCGCCCCCUGUGGACAGGAGGACAACUACAGUCACACACACAAACCCUAACCCUUUACUGCAGGAACAUUAUCAGAAAGCGUCGAUUUGAGAUUUAUUAUGAAAAUUUUGAUGUUCGAUGUCUCACCAGCGGCCUCCAGCGUCUCCUCGGCCUUCAGACCGGGGGCUUCGGUGGACGGGGAGCCGCCUUCCCCCCCCAGAGCCAGAGUAGGAGGACAGGCCGUCGUCCACGUCCAGGGAGUUUCCUGCGGCCGUGACCCCGUCUGAGAGCUCCAGGCUGGGGAUGGAGAAGGACGCAGAGUCCGUGGACUCCCGCUGGUCCUCCAGGUCCAGAUCUACAAGACAAAACGAUUAUUUACAUUAAUCCAAACCAAAGUAAAGAUUACACGAUUAGAUUAAUAGAAAUAAAGAUCAAAGUUGUUC